This 533-nucleotide long non-coding RNA is filed under the name Calidris pugnax (ruff). RNAcentral describes it as "lncRNA (ENSCPUG00000013182.1)". Lineage: Eukaryota; Metazoa; Chordata; Aves; Charadriiformes; Scolopacidae. The record is from RNAcentral.
GGGGGGACGGCAGUGGUGGGCAGCAGGGACACAGUGUGGGUGCCACAAGGAGUGAUGCCGGGCUGCGGUGGGGACACGGGGGUCCCACAGGCUGGUACAGCUGGGCCCCAGGGGUGGGGACAGGACACCUCCCCACCCAUGCUGGCCCUUCCUUCUCGGUGCUGCAGAAAAUGUGACCGCCCGGAUCCAGGCUCACCCGCCAGUACCCACCAUGUACCACCAGCUGAUACUCUCCUGCGAGGUCACGGGGGACCCCAGCCCCAAGGAGUUCCUGUGGGAGAAGGAUGGACACCAUGACCCCCUGCAGAAAGGCCCUGACAACAUCCUCCUCUUCCCCUCCUUCAACAAGUCGCACUUGGGCACCUACAUCUGCAGGGCCACCGGCUCCCUGGGCACCACCGUGGCCACCUACAACCUGUGGAUAGACGGUAGGGAGGGGACCAAGGGGAUGGCUGGGGACAAGGGUUCUUCCCCUAUUUCCCGCAGCUUGUCCUCACCACCCCGUGCCUGUGCCACCCUGUAUCACAGCCCAC